This 253-nucleotide ribosomal RNA is filed under the name uncultured bacterium. RNAcentral's name for it is "partial 16S ribosomal RNA". It matches the Rfam family "Bacterial small subunit ribosomal RNA", at positions 524 to 776 of the family's 1533-position model. The record is from RNAcentral.
UACGUAGGGGGCAAGCGUUGUCCGGAAUCAUUGGGCGUAAAACGCGUGUAGGCGGCCUUGUAAGUCCGUUCUGAAAGCCCGGGGCUCAACCCCGGGAGGCGGAUGGAUACUGCAAGGCUCGAGUCCGGAAGAGGCGAGUGGAAUUCCCGGUGUAGCGGUGAAAUGCGCAGAUAUCGGGAGGAACACCAAUGGCGAAGGCAGCUCGCUGGGACGGUACUGACGCUGAGACGCGAAAGCGUGGGGAGCAAACAGG